RNAcentral lists this ribosomal RNA (284 nucleotides) under uncultured prokaryote. RNAcentral's name for it is "partial 16S ribosomal RNA". It matches the Rfam family "Bacterial small subunit ribosomal RNA", at positions 524 to 817 of the family's 1533-position model. The record is from RNAcentral.
UACGUAGGGGGCUAGCGUUAUCCGGAAUUACUGGGCGUAAAGGGUGCGUAGGUGGUUUCUUAAGUCAGAGGUGAAAGGCUACGGCUCAACCGUAGUAAGCCUUUGAAACUGGGAAACUUGAGUGCAGGAGAGGAGAGUGGAAUUCCUAGUGUAGCGGUGAAAUGCGUAGAUAUUAGGAGGAACACCAGUGGCGAAGGCGGCUUUUCUGGACGAUAACUGACGCUGAGGCGCGAAAGCGUGGGGAGCAAACAGGAUUAGAUACCCGUGUAGUCCCUGAGCGGGCU